Molecule: ribosomal RNA, 734 nt
Filed under: Strongyloides stercoralis
Lineage: Eukaryota; Metazoa; Nematoda; Chromadorea; Rhabditida; Strongyloididae
Description: eukaryotic LSU rRNA
Rfam family: Eukaryotic large subunit ribosomal RNA
Source: RNAcentral
AAAAGAAACUAAAUAGGAUUUCCAUAGUAACUGCGAGUGAACUGGAAUUAGCCCAUCACGAAAUCUAUAUUAUAAUAAUAAUAUCGAAAUGUCGUGUAUAGGUUUUAUUAUUAUUAAUAAAUUAUUAUUAAAUAAUUGUAUUUAAAUAUACAGCCACAGAAGGUGCCAGCCCUGUUAUUUAAUAAUAUUUAUUAAAUUUAUAAAACUUUAGAGUCGUGUUGCUUGGAAGUGCAGCACAAAGUUGGUGAUAAACAUCAUCUAAGGCUAAAUAUUCCUAUGAAUCCGAUAGCGAACAAGUACUGUGAAGGAAAAUUGCAAAGUACUCCGGAGAGAGAGUUAAAGAGGACGUGAAACCGAUACGAUGGAAGCAUACAGAGCCAGUUGCACUAUUAUUAAUAUUUUUUUAUUAAUAAUUUUAAGCAUGGGUAUAUUGAUUAUUAAUUAGUUAUUUAUUAAAGAGUGAUAAAAUUUUUUAAAUUUUGUUAACUUUAAUAAAAUAAUUAUAUUUAUAAUUAAUAUUAUAUAUUAUUAAUGUAUUAAUAAUAUUUUAAUUAUUAAUAUAAUAUAAAACACAUGUGUUAAAUAUUAUUUAUUAAUAAUUAUUAUAUUAUUAUAAAUUAAUAAACCUAUGUAAUCCUGGUAUGCUGUAUGUCCCGUCUUGAAACACGGACCAAGGAGUGUAUUACUAUGGCAAGUCAUUGAUAUUAUUAAUAUCAAAGGCAUAAUGAAAAUAA